Molecule: non-coding RNA, 23 nt
Filed under: Arabidopsis thaliana (thale cress)
Lineage: Eukaryota; Viridiplantae; Streptophyta; Magnoliopsida; Brassicales; Brassicaceae
Source: RNAcentral
AGUCAGGUGUGGUUGUUCUUAGG